Molecule: long non-coding RNA, 2081 nt
Filed under: Nicotiana tabacum (common tobacco)
Lineage: Eukaryota; Viridiplantae; Streptophyta; Magnoliopsida; Solanales; Solanaceae
Description: long non-coding RNA (NTAB_LNC007523)
Source: RNAcentral
GAAUACUCAAUAUAUGACGACCCAACAUGAUAUACAAACUUAUACAUGUGACAUACAGGCCUAUAAGGCCGACAUGACCAUUUGUAAACUCAACACAUAGGCCAACAAGGCUAUAAAAGUAUCCAUAAACCCGAUAUCUGUCUACAAGCCUCUAAGAGUACAUAAAAUCAUAGGUCGGGACAUGGCCCUCCAUACCAAUCAAUACAUAUCCAAAGCAUACUAACCAAAUAGGCAACUCCGGAGUAAGUGGAGUGCACCAACACCUCCGCUGAGCUGAUAGCCUACUAGGAAGACUGUCAACCAAUCAGUCGGGACCUGCGGGCAUGAAACACAGCAUCCCCAGGCAAAAGGAAUGUCAGUAUAAAUAAAGUACCGAGUAUGUAAGGCAGAAAAGCAUAAACAAGAACAUUAAUGUAAAGAGAGAUAGAGGAGAUACAACCUGUAACAUAUGAGUGCCUCUGAGGGCUACUACCAUGAAAUGCAUAAUACAUAUAUAUACAUAAACAUUUAAAACAUAACCCUCUAUAGGCAUUAUCAUCAUCAUCAUAUCGUACCCGGCCACAAAGAGGAUUUGGUAAAAACGUACCUGGCCAUCAUAAGGCUCGGUAGAAUCGUACCUGGCCACAUGGAGCUCGAUAAAUCCAACUGAUCAGUGGUUGCACAAUAGGUGUCGUACCCGGCCUACUAUAGCGUGGCUUGGUAGAGUAAAAUAGAUACUAUAUAUAUUGCAUGCUAGACUCAUAGAAUCACGUUCUAAACCUUUUGGAGUGACUUAAGGUUGUUGCACCUUCGAUUAACAUUAUGGACAUUAUACCAUCAAUAUGAGAUUCUAUAGGAUUCAAGGAUCAUACAUACUUGCUUAAAAUAACUUUAUAAGGAAAGAACAACAUGGACAACCUUAGUUUCUAGGAGUAGAUCCGUUAUGAAAUAACGUAUUCAUUUCACUUUACAUCAUGCCAAAAGAAAGAGGGAAGUGCCUUAACAUACCUUAACCAUGGUGAGUCCUUAAUAACUCCCAAGCUACUCUUCAGACAACUCAACUCAAUAUACCAUUGCAUAAGGAGAUUCAAAUUAGUGUUGAAUAAAGGCUAAGUCUGCAACUUAAACUUGUAGCUCGUUUAUAUAAAUUCGGGCAGCAUCUCCCCUGUAACAAGAGCCUCCUCCAAUAUCAUAUACCAACAACAAUUACCAGAGAAAUCCAGCAAUACAUAAUUAUCAAUAACAAGACACCAUAAAAUAACAACAAGUCAUAACUAUUUUAAGAUGAGCGACAAGCUCCAAUUGGAAUUCGUAUACCCCAUAUCAUCCCUUAUAGACUUUUUACUUUAAUUUAAUAGUAUCAUUAACAUGAUAAUGAAGUCAUUCAUCAAUAAUUCCAGACUUAUACCAUAUAUCCAUAACAAAGAAACUGAUCCACAACACCAAUUAUUCGUAAUUAGCAACUUUAUUCACUAGUUCAUGUCUACUUCAUCCAUUUAACUUAACCGAUAUCAAUAUAACCUUAAGCACCUGUAGGAACACAAUAUAAUUACCUCCUACAGUAGAUGCAAGUCGAAAUCCAUGUUAUAUUUAGCUUACAACAGCCCAACACACCCCAAUCGAUUCAUACCCAAAACGACGACUAUAAUAGUGUCAAACACCCCGAAAAUAAUACAAAGAAUGACUAAUCCAUCAUUUCGCCAUUAAGUGGUGUUUCUCCACACCAUUUAUCCUCCAAAAACUCCAUUAAAUAGAAGCAAAAUAUACAAACCAAAAGCUACACAAAACAGCCCAUAAAAUAGUACAUUACAAAUCAAAUAACUCGAACUCACGACUUCCGAUCGCCAUCCCGUGAGUUCUAACUAUUAUGAAAUGAAUUAAUCAACCUUUCUUGAUAUUUAAGAUCUUAAAACCAGAAAUUAGAAAUUUUUAUUAAUUUCAAAAUACCUUCCAAAUUUCAAACUACAAAGAAAAAGAGAGGCAAUAUAGCAAUACUAACGCUGUGGGAAUCGUUCUAGUUUUAUUGCUUCUUGAUUUCGUUCCCGGGAUGAUGGUAUUGUUUGAAAUCCUUGUAGAGAGAUUAAGGGUGAUGUUAGGGUCUU